This 503-nucleotide ribosomal RNA is filed under the name uncultured bacterium. RNAcentral's name for it is "partial 16S ribosomal RNA". It matches the Rfam family "Bacterial small subunit ribosomal RNA", at positions 30 to 523 of the family's 1533-position model. The record is from RNAcentral.
AUUGAACGCUGGCGGCAGGCUUAACACAUGCAAGUCGAGCGGGGUGAUGGUGCUUGCACUAUCACUUAGCGGCGGACGGGUGAGUAAUGCUUAGGAAUCUGCCUAUUAGUGGGGGACAACAUCUCGAAAGGGAUGCUAAUACCGCAUACGUCCUACGGGAGAAAGCAGGGGAUCACUUGUGACCUUGCGCUAAUAUAUGAGCCUACGUCGGAUUAGCUAGUUGGUGGGGUAAAGGCCUACCAAGGCGACGAUCUGUAGCGGGUCUGAGAGGAUGAUCCGCCACACUGGGACUGAGACACGGCCCAGACUCCUACGGGAGGCAGCAGUGGGGAAUAUUGGACAAUGGGGGGAACCCUGAUCCAGCCAUGCCGCGUGUGUGAAGAAGGCCUUAUGGUUGUAAAGCACUUUAAGCGAGGAGGAGGCUCUUUUGGUUAAUACCCAAGAUGAGUGGACGUUACUCGCAGAAUAAGCACCGGCUAACUCUGUGCCAGCAGCCGCAGUAA